Molecule: long non-coding RNA, 3981 nt
Filed under: Homo sapiens (human)
Lineage: Eukaryota; Metazoa; Chordata; Mammalia; Primates; Hominidae
Source: RNAcentral
GCUUUGUGCAGUCUCAUUUCCUGGCUGAGAAGGUCCCGAGAUACCAGGCUGACUGGAAGCUCCCACACAGCCCAUUUCUGGGACCUGAGGGCGCAAGGCUCCACAGAGGAAUACCGGCGGGGAAUGCAGUGGAGACCCCCAGGAAGGUGUCUCCAAGCAGAAGGGAGAGAGAGGCCGUGUCUCAAAACUCCAGAGGCUUCUGAAGUCCUUCUGGAGAGUUAAGAAAAUCGGAGCUCAUGUGAAAGCAUUCUUGUCAUACAACUGCCUUCCAAUGGCAUGACCACGGAAGGAGAACAGCUCCUCACCAAAGCAGCCAUGAUGGAUUCUGACAUUUUCGAAGUUAUUAAAGAAUGUGCCACACCAAAAAAAAAAAAAAAGUAAAGAGAGAGAAUAGCAAAUUAAUGGGGACAUUUGGAGGAGAAAGGACAUGUAACCAUAACACACUGCUGGGCUUGGGAGUCAACAAUCCUUAAGUGCUCCAGGACAUUGGUGUGCCCAGUGGAAGUUUCCUACAAGGGGUGACAGCUCUGGACAGGGCAUCAGGUGCCUGUGUGCUCACUGCAAGUCUGCCCCUGGUCGGCUAUAUGAUCUUGGUCAAGCUGCUCUGUCUCUCUGGGUCCAGCUAGACAAGAUGCUCACUGAGUCCCCUCCUGACUCAUUUGUGAUUUUAUAAGGGUUGCCUGGUACAUGCUUUCUGAAGGGGAGAGCAAGGGGAGGAGGAACCAAUGCAGAGACUCACCACGGACCUGAGUCUUGGCAGGGAGGAGAGAGCAGAGGGAGCCUGGGGCUGAGGAAGACUGGGGGCAGGGGUGCUAGAGAUGCCUCUCUUCUUUCACAAACCUCCUGUGCUGGCCUGCUCCCGGAGUGCUGUCCAGAAAGCCUCUUCAAGAAACCCAUUACAAGUGACCACAAAGAAUGCCCGUUCCAAGACAUGCAUUCUGAGGGAGGUGUGCACCAAAGCUUUAGUGGGCAGGAAGCUACCCCACCACCCAGCUCCAGCACUGCUGGGAGCUGAUUCCAGCCCAGCCACUCCUCAUGGCUUUUAUAUGGCCCUGCUGGGCCCUGGCGAUCUGGUUUGAAAAUCAUGGUUCUAUCUCAAUCCAAUCAAUGGAAAACUGAAUUUCAAGUGUUAUCUCCCCUCAAACAAAAAACAAAACAAAAAAACAACAAAAAAAACAGGGUGAAAAAGAGCACACAGUGGCUCUCAACACAGCUUUCACCUUCCUCCCUGGAUUCUGCCAUUCCUGGAUGUGCUUACACAGAGCUGGCUGCUCGGAUUUCCCCUAGUGAAUGCAACCAGUUACCGGACUGCGACAGGUGCAUGGACCCCAGCACCUUCUCUCAAACACCCACGCUUGGAGGAAAACGUGGCAGCUCUCUCCCCAGCUGGGGCUUGGCCUGGGGUGCCCACCCUCUUUCUCAUUAAGCAGCCCUUCAUCUGAGAGGUAAGAAACUCAAGUUCAUCCAGCGUGUGAACCUGCAAUGUGGGGUGUGCUAAGAUCCAGGCGGGCUAAUGAUCACUAACAAUGCUCCCUAUCCAACCCAGCAAGGCACACAAGGACAAAACCCCACCUACGGAUCCAGCUGCAUGCCUGAGUUUUGAGUACACAGCCAAAGAAAAAAGCAUGCUCAGGUUGUCCAGAAAAAAAAGGAAACCUGAAAAAAAAAAAAAAACCACAAUAGCGAGAAAGGGGGUCUAAGUUUCCUCGGAGGUCCUCAACUGUCUGUAGAAGUGCCCCACCCAGAACCCAAAAUAAAAUGAAGUAACCCCGCCCCUGGUCAGGGUCCUGUCUUUUUUAUUAUCCAGACACACGUAUCAGAGCCUGCUAACAUCCAGUUGUGGGAAGAGCAGCAAGCAGUACACCAGGAGCCACAGGAAGAGAAUAAAAUACAUCAUAUCCGGCUGCUGGACAAGCUGUGUCAGGGAGUCACUCUGCGGGCUGUGGCUCCCCAGUGACAUGGCUUCUCCUGAGCUGUUGGCCUUCCUACAGAAGAAACACAGAGGAAACGCAGUUACCAAGCAGGUUCCCAGGAAAGUGGACCCCACCCAGUGCUACCCGUCUCUCCCCGGCCCCCACUCCCCGCCUGAAGACCCGAAGGCUCCCCAGCACCAUGUCCAGGUAGGCCCCACACUGUGUGUACUGGCCCAAGGCAGUGCGUCGGGCCAUCCAGGCAGCCCCUCGAGCUUUUGCACGUACUCCGUUCAUCUCCAUAACAUCAGGUGAGAGGAGGUGGCAGCCCCAUUCUGCAGAUGGACACACUGAGGCUUUCGGGGUGGAGUGACUUGCCCAAGGCCAUGCAAUUAACUUGGCGACAGAGAGGGCGCCUAGGCCAGGUCUCCUGGGACACCUUUCUUGAUGCCACAGUGCUCUCAGAGAGUGACACGGAGUUAGAUACUGAUCGCUUGCUGCUGUUUGUUAGUAACGCAGGGGACCCCAUAGGUCAUCUAAGGGAUGAAGUGUCCCUAAUAGCAGAUCAUUUUAAAUCAUCUAUCAGAAAGAAACAAAGACCUCUCCCAUUCCCCACAGUUUUGUUUUGGCUUUGGAAUAUUACCUUUAAAAUAAUUACUAGAUUUGAUUUCAGUCAGAUUUACCUUCCUGCUUUUAUUUUAUAGGUGGUAGUGUUAAAAUGUCAUUUCAGUUUUGCCUGGCGGAUCAUAGGGAAGCCCAGAAGGUUUUGCCUGGGGCUGGGGCCUCUGCUUGGAGCUGCAUGUAGAGAAGCCUGCAGUGUAAGCCUCUUAGGGUGGUUUCGUGCGGUGUAAUGGAGAUUACGAGAGGCUAAAACCACUUGUCCCAGAACUAUCUCCUGAUAGCAGGAGCGAGGGGCAGGGUGGGAUUAAACAUCUGCCACAGUCUACAUACUGAAUGAUAAAUACCCACAUGAUGGUCUUCUUUAAAAAGCUGUCCACAGAAACAAGUUAAACUAUAUACUUUUUAUAGAGACACGGUCUCUCUGUGUUGCCCAGGCUAGUCUCAAACUCCUGGCCUCAAGCAGUCCUCCCUCCUUGGCCUCCCAAAGUGCUGGGAUUACAGGCGUGAGCCACCAUGCGCAGCCUAAACCAUAUUUUUUAUUAUAAAGGUAAUAAAUGCUCAAUGUAGACAACUGAAAACACGACUGCAUUUCUCAACUUUACAGGUUCUAUUUUCAACGCCUCUAUCUCAUAAGAGCAAAAAGGAUUAUUUUCCUAUGAGCAUAUCCAGCCUGGUGGAAAACUUGAAUUAGUAUUUCCAUUUCAUGGCAGGGGAAAGGAGCUGUCUUGCUUCUUUUUUAGCAGCCAGAGGGAUGGGGUUCUAAUGACCACACUCUUGGGUGUUGGGUAAUAUUCAGACAGAGGCUUCCGAUUCCAGUAAUCUAAAUCCUUCCAAGCCAAUUCAAAUCUGUGGCGAGUAAAUAAAAUUUUUUAAAAAUAAAAACAUAAUAAAGCAACUCUAUGACUUCAACAGGAAUGGGGACGUCUCAGAAUUGUAAGAAUUUGAGACGUUUUUCUGGUUUCCUAUGUUUUAAAUGGGCAGGUUUCCAGCAAUUCAGCAACAUUAGGCCAGGCCAACAGUUCUCCGACAGCAAGAAAUACUUUCAUAGACAUCCUGGCAUGUUUGCUUUCCCUCUUCAUGUCUGCUCUGAUGCCAUAAAACUGUAAAAUCAGCUCAGUAAGCUUCUGAGUACUGUACCUGCAGUGGCAACAGAGAAUGGACAGGCGUCAGGGGCUACAGCAUUCACAGGGGCCACACAGCCUCACAAGACCACCACCUCUUCUCCUGCCUGGCCGUCCCUUUGCUAACUACCCUAUACCACUAAACCACCCUAUACUCUAUACCACUCAUUUAAACACAGCUGCAGGCUCAGAACCCAGACCCGUCUUUAAACUGACUCAUUUUCGGAACCGGGCCCUAACCAUCAGUGUUAAUUAAUAUCUACUUUUCCUUUCUACUCAUAUUCAAUUUACAUCAUUUUCUCUGGAAUAGUUAUUUUCUUGCAUUAUCC